This 253-nucleotide ribosomal RNA is filed under the name uncultured bacterium. RNAcentral's name for it is "partial 16S ribosomal RNA". It matches the Rfam family "Bacterial small subunit ribosomal RNA", at positions 524 to 776 of the family's 1533-position model. The record is from RNAcentral.
UACGUAGGUGGCAAGCGUUGUCCGGAUUUACUGGGCGUAAAGAGCGCGCAGGCGGUCGUUCAAGUCGCGUGUGAAAGCCCCCGGCUCAACUGGGGAGGGUCACGCGAUACUGAUCGACUCGAAGGCAGGAGAGGGAAGUGGAAUUCCCGGUGUAGUGGUGAAAUGCGUAGAUAUCGGGAGGAACACCAGUGGCGAAGGCGACUUCCUGGCCUGUUCUUGACGCUGAGGCGCGAAAGCUAGGAGAGCAAACGGG